GACGAACGCUGGCGGCGUGCUUAACACAUGCAAGUCGAACGGAAAGGCCCUGCUUUUGUGGGGUGCUCGAGUGGCGAACGGGUGAGUAACACGUGAGUAACCUGCCCUUGACUUUGGGAUAACUUCAGGAAACUGGGGCUAAUACAGGAUAGGAGCUCCUGCUGCAUGGUGGGGGUUGGAAAGUUUCGGCGGUUGGGGAUGGACUCGCGGCUUAUCAGCUUGUUGGUGGGGUAGUGGCUUACGAAGGCUUUGACGGGUAGCCGGCCUGAGAGGGUGACCGCGGUCAUUGGGACUAAGAGACGGCGCAGACGCGUAUGGGAGGCAGCAGUGGAGAGCAUGGCACAAUGGGCGGAAGCGUGAUGCAGCAACGCCGCGUGCGGGAUGACGGCUUUGUGGUGGUAAACCGCAUUAGCCUGUGACGAAGCGGGAUUGACGGUAAUGGGUAAAGAAGCACCGGCUAACUACGUG
This 468-nucleotide ribosomal RNA is filed under the name uncultured bacterium. RNAcentral's name for it is "partial 16S ribosomal RNA". It matches the Rfam family "Bacterial small subunit ribosomal RNA", at positions 28 to 507 of the family's 1533-position model. The record is from RNAcentral.